This is a long non-coding RNA of Pangasianodon hypophthalmus (striped catfish), 2663 nucleotides long. RefSeq lists it as uncharacterized. The transcript has 3 exons. NCBI's taxonomy places the organism in Eukaryota, Metazoa, Chordata, Actinopteri, Siluriformes, Pangasiidae. The record is from RefSeq and is a predicted model, not a curated record.
CACGCACACACACGCACACACACAUCUGGACCAAAGGAACUGCAGGCCGUUGGGAUAUCCAGGUGCUGUUGGUAGUCCAGAGAGAGUGAGAGAUAGAGAGAGAGAGAGAGACAUGAGCAUAUGUUUGUCAUUUUAAGUUUCAUGGAGAGGGGUGGACAUGGGACUGUGAUGACAUCACCACUCUGUUUCAGCUCACAUCUGGAACUGUUCAAGACAUGGUGCGGAAAGAGAGAGAGAGAAGAGAGAGAGAGAAGGAGCAAGGACGAAGAGAAAGAAGCACCUGAUGAUCAACACAGUCACUGUACAUGAGGCCACACCCAUGGUUUGUGAUUUGCUGGCCUUGAUUUCUUGGGCCAUUCUAAUUGGUUUAUUUAAAUUCAGUGCUUCAGGUGAAAUAGCAGUUUGGCACCUGAACAAUUUCUUAGGUGUUGCCCAAACUGGGAGAGGCAGAAAGAUAGAGAAGAGUGAGGAUGAAGAGAGAAGGGUGAAAAGCCGAACAUAGAGAUAAAUGUGCAGGAACACAAAUGACAGAAGACUGGAGAAAGAGAAAGAAAGGAUUUCAUUCACAGUCACCAGGAAUUGAGCAGCUCCUACAUAACAUGUACAGGAGAGAAAACACAGAGAAAAGCUUCAUUUUCAUCUAGAAAACCAAGUUGUUGCACAGAGGACAGCCAGUAGAGGUAUAGAAAAGAACAGAAAAGAGAGAGGACGAGGAGAGGGGAAGAGAAAUGAAAGCAAUCAGAGCGAGUUCUUCGUGGAGUUUACCAUGUGUCCCCCACCCUCCUGCUGGACCCUGCAGCUCAGAAUUAUGAUGUCAAAGAGAGCGAGAGAGAGAGGGAGCACAUAUGUUUCUGCUAUUACAGUAAGAGUAUGGAGAGAAAGAAAAGGAGAAGAGGUUGGAGGAGGAGAGAGUGAGAGUAUUAUCAUGGAGAGGAGGGGUUAAGAGUGAGUGGGUGAACAUAAAUAGCCUGUUCCACUGCCCCAUGAUUUGAAAACCCACCCACUAAUUCUUUCACUCGGCAGAGGCUGAAAAAAAUAAGAGCGAUCCAAGAUGCUUUUAUUAGCAUGAAUGUAUGUAGUACAGUAUCACUAAAACCUCAGAAAUAUGGUUUAGAUUAAAAUAUUUAGUAGCAGUAGUAGUAGUAGUAGUACUGGCAGUAAACGUAACACUGAGCAAAGAAGUGUGUGGAUGUGACAGAGAAAGAUGCAAGAAGUGCAGGGUCACACUGUGACUCCUAGGGGUGUGUGUGUGUGUGAUUAACAAGGGUUAAUCUUAUUUUCUUUUUUUCAAAAUAUUUACUUUAUUAUUGGAAAAUAUUAUCUGCAAUUCAGAUAAAAAAUAAUUUAGAGUUGAAGGUGAGGGGGUCAAAGCUUAAUUAUGAUUUGAGUGGGUGGAAUCUGAUGAAAUUCUUCAAAUUUAUUAGAAUUCCUUUAAGAGCUUGGGUUGCUGGUCCAGAUUUCGAUGUUCUUAAAAUGCUUAAUUGUGGAUGUAAUACAAAUUUGAAUCAGAAGCCUCAGUCCUUUGAAGAUGGAAAUACUGGGCUUUUCAUCCAGUUAUUUUCAUGUGAAUUUGUUCAUUAAAAAAAUAUUAAUGAAAAUGUUAGUGUUUCAGUUUGUCCAUGUCAACGGCUGUGUGUCUACCAAACAUUCUGUGAGAAAGAUUUUCUGAGAACAAUAUUCUUAUCAUGUUACCUUGCGAGAACAAAGUCACAGGGACAUUCACAAGCAUUGAGAACACUCCCACAGGAGUUUGAGAGGCACUCUGUACUUGCUUUCAGUGCAAGCUUAGCCUUUAGUGCGAGUUUGGGUCUUGUGAGCAACAACACCUUAGAUAUUCACUAACAGUGGAAACAGUGGAAAAAAUCUUAAAUGCUUGUUGACUUUUAGACAAAGCAGUGGUGCCCGAUGUUCACUGAAGUUGCUUACUUAGGUAACUGGAGCCUCCUAUCAGGAACUUUAGUUCAAAAGCACCCUUCACCUCAUUCUUAGGGGAGAAAAAAAAAGAGUUUGGACCAGGCUACCCCAGCCUUAUCUGCUCUUAAUCAAGCAUUCACCACUGCUCCCAUCCUGACCCCAAAACACCCUGACCCCAAACUGCCCUUCAUCACCAGAGUGGACACCCCCAGGGUUAUGCCAUAGGAAUGCUAUAAAUGGCUGAGGAAGCUGAACACCCUUUCAUAGCCUACACUGAUCGCAAUAACCUAAAUCUACAAAAUGCUUCAUACCUCAAGCCAGAUGGAGUUUCUUCUCACAGUUUAAUUUCACUGUCUCCUAUCACCCAGGAUCCAAGAAUUUCAAAUCCAGUGUGCUGCCUUGAAUUAAUCUUCCUAGCCCCAAAACCAAAAUGGUCACAGACUUGCCCUUCCCCAAGGGCAUAUAGUUGUUAUUGACCAUUUCUCAAAAUCCCUUAAAUUCCAAAAUCUCUCUGUCUCUCUAUCUUGGAUAUUGAGAUAAUUCACCAUUUUUUCUUGCUGACAAUAUAAAGCCUUAGAACAUAAAAGAAAUUUGUAAGAAAGACAGAUAGGGAGGAGAGAGAGAGUAGGAGAUGGAAAGGCCAGUAUCUUACACCCAAUACUUGCCAUCAUGGGACUGAAUAAUAACAAUAUCUCUAUAUAUGUUUCGUUAUAUAUCUGUAACUGGAGAUUGAAGUGAUAGAAAUACUA